Molecule: non-coding RNA, 195 nt
Organism: Blautia sp. CAG:37
Lineage: Bacteria; Bacillati; Bacillota; Clostridia; Lachnospirales; Lachnospiraceae
Source: Rfam
AACUUCCUGGAAUGUUCGAUGAUCUCAUUAUUUUGAACCUACAUUUACUUUAAACGGGAGGCUUAUUAUUGUCAUGUGGAUGUCAGGCCACCCUGGAAACAGACGUCAGUGGAAGGCAGAAAUGAUGACUGCGGCUACCCACCUAGCUUGCGUUGCUAGGAGUCAAAGUAUGGGAAACGGCAUUCCGGGGUUACA